GAGGAAUAUUGCGCAAUGGCCGAAAGGCUGACGCAGCGACGCCGCGUGAAGGAUGAAGUUCGUUAGAAUGUAAACUUCUUUUGUAGGGGAUGAAUGUGCCGGUUUCCGGCACUGACCGUACCCUGCGAAUAAGGAUCGGCUAACUACGUGCCAGCAGCCGCGGUAAUACGUAGGAUCCGAGCGUUGUCCGGAUUUACUGGGUGUAAAGGGCGUGUAGGUGGGUCUCUAAGUCGGUGGUGAAAGCCCGCAGCUUAACUGCGGAAUUGCCAUUGAUACUGGAGGUCUUGAGUACGGCAGAGGGAAAUGGAAUUCAUGGUGUAGCGGUGAAAUGUGUAGAUAUCAUGAAGAACACCGGUAGCGAAGGCGGUUUCCUGGUCCGUAACUGACACUGAGGCUCGAAAGCGUGGGGAGCAAAC
RNAcentral lists this ribosomal RNA (416 nucleotides) under uncultured bacterium. Its description in RNAcentral is "bacterial SSU rRNA". It matches the Rfam family "Bacterial small subunit ribosomal RNA", at positions 356 to 773 of the family's 1533-position model. The record is from RNAcentral.